GCCAGAGUGGUGCAGUGGUUUGAGCACUGGACUACAACUCUGGAGACCAGGGUUCAAUUCCCUCUUAGUCA
Non-coding RNA from Phrynosoma platyrhinos (Desert horned lizard), 71 nucleotides. The record is from the annotation of a GenBank genome assembly. NCBI's taxonomy places the organism in Eukaryota, Metazoa, Chordata, Lepidosauria, Squamata, Phrynosomatidae.